Long non-coding RNA from Cyprinodon variegatus (sheepshead minnow), 1153 nucleotides. RefSeq lists it as uncharacterized. Lineage: Eukaryota; Metazoa; Chordata; Actinopteri; Cyprinodontiformes; Cyprinodontidae. The transcript has 3 exons. The record is from RefSeq and is a predicted model, not a curated record.
UGUGAGAGUGAGAGAGCUGAUUAGAUUGGAGAGAGCCAAGGAGGUAUGGCUGUACUAUUGAGCAGAGAGGGAGCGUGACUGAGUGAACGCAGAAUCACAGCAAAGUCCUCAAGACGGCGGAUGGACUGGACCUAAAUCAACAAACUGACAAAGAAAAUCUGGAUGGAUACCAUGUAUAAAGGAUGAAGUAUUUGCCUUAAUGAGCGAGUAUCUCUGCAUUAGUGUUGCAAGGAAACCACCGGGAGAAAAAGGAAAGGAAAAAAAAAUCAAAAACGGACAACUCGUUUCUCUCUCUUGGAAGGAGAGCUGUGAGCCGGAACAGAGUCAACGGUGGGACUCAGAGGGAUUUUAAAUAUACUCUCAUGCCGGGGUGUGUGUGAGUCAGUGUGUGUAAGCUGAUAAUAGCAGCUCCAUUGGUAUUCAGCGGAGGGAGCUCCAGGAUCUCGCUGCGCCUUUUCCCCAGGAUGGGAUCACAGAGCAGGGAUUGUGCUUGCCUGAGGAGAGCCCGCUGAAAUGGACCCAAACCCUUGGAGCAAUGGACACCAAAUGGGCAGCAUGGAGACCAACGUGUUCCCUUCAGCAGAAAGCUUUCCACACCUAAGCGCCUCCACCAACUCCAGCCAUCCACUCAAGCCAGGGCUAAGCCUGCAGAGUUGAAGUAGGGGUUUGCCUGGAGCUGUCUGCAGAAAACAGAGAUAAGAAGGCCUCAGAGGAGUCAACGUGUUACAAACCAGUCAAUGCGUUGAGCAAUUAAGCUGCUUGAACUUCAUCCGCAAUGAAAUAUGAUGCAGUGAUGCUUGAGCAGUGGUUCAGAGCUUUUGGACGUGUGUGGAUUUAUCAGCUGGAUAUUUUGUUGAGGUUACGACACUUUGGGGCGCAUUUCCGAGCUGGAUCACUUUCCCCACAUUCGUUUGUGGGCAAAAGCGAGUAAUUGAAAAUUAAACCCCUGGAGGCUAGUUUUAUUUUAUUUAUUUUUUUUCCGAAGGAGCAGCUUGUAUGUUUUUCCUCAGAUUUCCUGUUCUUUCUCUUACAUUGCAGAAAAAUACAUUAUGAAGCAGCACCAUUCUUCUUCAUCCUCCCUCAGUGACGGAGAGGGAAGAGGGACACACUGUCCAGAAUAGAUAACGAGUAAGAAGACAGCCGCUGAGAAAGA